This 253-nucleotide ribosomal RNA is filed under the name uncultured bacterium. RNAcentral's name for it is "partial 16S ribosomal RNA". It matches the Rfam family "Bacterial small subunit ribosomal RNA", at positions 524 to 776 of the family's 1533-position model. The record is from RNAcentral.
CACGUAGGGGGCAAGCGUUGUCCGGAUUUAUUGGGCGUAAAGAGCUCGUAGGUGGUUCGAUAAGUCGGGGGUGAAAUCCCGGGGCUCAACCUCGGAAUUGCCUUCGAUACUGUCUGUCUUGAGUCCGGGAGAGGUGAGUGGAAUUCCUAGUGUAGAGGUGAAAUUCGUAGAUAUUAGGAAGAACACCAGUGGCGAAGGCGGCUCACUGGCCCGGUACUGACGCUCAUGUGCGAAAGCGUGGGGAGCAAACAGG